UAUCUGUUUGUGAAGAAACGACAAACGCAAAUAUCUACAGAGUUGCGGCAACGCAUGGGGGAGAGAAUUUUUGGAAAAGCCAACUGUUUGGCUUCGAAUAUUUUCUCAAGUACAUCUCUCUCAAAAGCAGGUAAAAGUUAAGGUGGUAG
Non-coding RNA from Caenorhabditis elegans, 149 nucleotides. Lineage: Eukaryota; Metazoa; Nematoda; Chromadorea; Rhabditida; Rhabditidae. The record is from Ensembl.